GGGCGAAUGGUUUAGUGGUAUAAUACUCCCUUAGCAUCGUUGAAGUAUCGACGUACAGCCUGGGAGUGGUCCGGGGUUCGAUUCCCCGUUUGUCCA
This is a non-coding RNA of Claviceps monticola, 96 nucleotides long. The record is from the annotation of a GenBank genome assembly. NCBI's taxonomy places the organism in Eukaryota, Fungi, Ascomycota, Sordariomycetes, Hypocreales, Clavicipitaceae.